This 496-nucleotide ribosomal RNA is filed under the name uncultured bacterium. RNAcentral describes it as "partial 16S ribosomal RNA". It matches the Rfam family "Bacterial small subunit ribosomal RNA", at positions 29 to 507 of the family's 1533-position model. The record is from RNAcentral.
AUGAACGCUGGCGGCGGGCCUAAUCCAUGCAAGUCGAGCGAACGGACGAGAAGCUUGCUUCUCUGAUGUUAGCGGCGGACGGGUGAGUAACACGUGGAUAACCUACCUAUAAGACUGGGAUAACUUCGGGAAACCGGAGCUAAAACCGGAUAAUAUUUUGAACCGCAUGGUUCAAAAGUGAAAGACGGUCUUGCUGUCACUUAUAGAUCGAUCCGCGCUGCAUGAGCCAGUUGGUAAGGUAACGGCUUACCAAGGCAACGAUGCGUAGCCGACCUGAGAGGAUGAUCAGCCACACUGGAACUGAGACACGGUCCAGACUCCUACGCGGCGCAGCAGUAGGGAACCUGCCGCAAUUGGCGAACUCCUGACGUAGCAACGCCACGUGAGUGAUGAAGGUCUUCGGAUCGUUAAACUCUGUUAUUAGGGUGGAACAUAUGUUUAAUUAACUGUGCACAUCUUGACGGUGCCUAAUCAGAAAGCCCCGGCUAACUACGUG